Molecule: ribosomal RNA, 497 nt
Filed under: uncultured bacterium
Lineage: Bacteria
Description: partial 16S ribosomal RNA
Rfam family: Bacterial small subunit ribosomal RNA
Source: RNAcentral
GAUGAACGCUGGCGGCGUGCCUAAUACAUGCAAGUCGAGCGAACGGACGAGAAGCUUGCUUUUCUGAUGUUAGCGGCGGACGGGUGAGUAACACGUGGAUAACCUACCUAUAAGACUGGGAUAACUUCGGGAAACCGGAGCUAAUACCGGAUAAUAUUUUGAACCGCAUGGUUCAAAAGUGAAAGACGGUCUUGCUGUCACUUAUAGAUGGAUCCGCGCUGCAUUAGCUAGUUGGUAAGGUAACGGCUUACCAAGGCAACGAUGCAUAGCCGACCUGAGAGGGUGAUCGGCCACACUGGAACUGAGACACGGUCCAGACUCCUACGGGAGGCAGCAGUAGGGAAUCUUCCGCAAUGGGCGAAAGCCUGACGGAGCAACGCCGCGUGAGUGAUGAAGGUCUUCGGAUCGUAAAACUGUGUUAUUAGGGAAGAACAUAUGUGUAAGUAACUGUGCACAUCUUGACGGUACCUAAUCAGAAAGCCACGGCUAACUACGUG